GAUGAACGCUAGCGGCAGGCUUAAUACAUGCAAGUUGAGGGGCAGCAUGAUAUACGCGAGUAUAUUGAUGGCGACCGGCGGACGGGUGAGUAAUAGGUAGGAGACCUACCUCAUACAGGGGGAUAGCAUAGAGAAAUCUGUGGUAAUACCCCAUGAGGUUAUAUGAAUAGAGGCAUAUAAUCAAAGCAUAAGUGAUUAUGCGGUAUGAGAGGGGCCUACUGACCAUUAGCUAGUUGGUGAGGUAAGGGCUCACCAAGGCGAAGAUGGUUAGGGGUUUUGAGAGAGAGACCCCCCACAUUGGAACUGAGAGACGGUCCAGACUCCUACGGGAGGCAGCAGUAGGGAAUAUUGGGCAAUGGGCGAAAGCCUGACCCAGCCAUGCCGCGUGAAGGAAGACGGCCUUAUGGGUUGUAAACUUCUUUACUACGCGAAUAGAGGUUAGUACGAGAUACUAAUAGGAAGGUAGUGUAGUAAAAGCACCGGCUAACUCCGUGCC
This 496-nucleotide ribosomal RNA is filed under the name uncultured bacterium. Its description in RNAcentral is "bacterial SSU rRNA". It matches the Rfam family "Bacterial small subunit ribosomal RNA", at positions 28 to 509 of the family's 1533-position model. The record is from RNAcentral.